This 701-nucleotide ribosomal RNA is filed under the name uncultured Bacilli bacterium. RNAcentral describes it as "bacterial SSU rRNA". It matches the Rfam family "Bacterial small subunit ribosomal RNA", at positions 51 to 725 of the family's 1533-position model. Lineage: Bacteria; Bacillati; Bacillota; Bacilli. The record is from RNAcentral.
GAGCGAGCUUGCCUAGAUGAUUUUAGUGCUUGCACUAAAUGAAACUAGAUACAAGCGAGCGGCGGACGGGUGAGUAACACGUGGGUAACCUGCCCAAGAGACUGGGAUAACACCUGGAAACAGAUGCUAAUACCGGAUAACAACACUAGACGCAUGUCUAGAGUUUGAAAGAUGGUUCUGCUAUCACUCUUGGAUGGACCUGCGGUGCAUUAGCUAGUUGGUAAGGUAAUGGCUUACCAAGGCGAUGAUGCAUAGCCGAGUUGAGAGACUGAUCGGCCACAUUGGGACUGAGACACGGCCCAAACUCCUACGGGAGGCAGCAGUAGGGAAUCUUCCACAAUGGACGAAAGUCUGAUGGAGCAACGCCGCGUGAGUGAAGAAGGGUUUCGGCUCGUAAAGCUCUGUUGGUAGUGAAGAAAGAUAGAGGUAGUAACUGGCCUUUAUUUGACGGUAAUUACUUAGAAAGUCACGGCUAACUACGUGCCAGCAGCCGCGGUAAUACGUAGGUGGCAAGCGUUGUCCGGAUUUAUUGGGCGUAAAGCGAGUGCAGGCGGUUCAAUAAGUCUGAUGUGAAAGCCUUCGGCUCAACCGGAGAAUUGCAUCAGAAACUGUUGAACUUGAGUGCAGAAGAGGAGAGUGGAACUCCAUGUGUAGCGGUGGAAUGCGUAGAUAUAUGGAAGAACACCAGUGGCGAAGGCGGC